AACGAACGCUGGCGGCAUGCCUAACACAUGCAAGUCGAACGAGACCUUCGGGUCUAGUGGCGCACGGGUGCGUAACGCGUGGGAACCUGCCCUUAGGUUCGGAAUAACUCCCCGAAAGGGGUGCUAAUACCGGAUAAUGUCUUCGGACCAAAGAUUUAUCGCCUUUGGAUGGGCCCGCGUUGGAUUAGCUAGUUGGUAGGGUAAAAGCCUACCAAGGCGACGAUCCAUAGCUGGUCUGAGAGGAUGAUCAGCCACACUGGGACUGAGACACGGCCCAGACUCCUCCGGGGGGCAGCAUGGGGGAAUAUUGGACAAGGGGCGAAAGCCUGACCCAGCAAUGCCGGGUGAGUGAUGAAGGCCUUAGGGUUGUAAAGCUCUUUUACCCGGGAUGAUAAUGCCCGUACCGGGAGAAUAAGCCCCGGCAAACUCCGU
RNAcentral lists this ribosomal RNA (432 nucleotides) under uncultured bacterium. Its description in RNAcentral is "partial 16S ribosomal RNA". It matches the Rfam family "Bacterial small subunit ribosomal RNA", at positions 29 to 506 of the family's 1533-position model. The record is from RNAcentral.